GGGGGGGGCAAGCGUUGUUCGGAAUUACUGGGCGUAAAGGGCGCGUAGGCGGCCUACUAAGUCGGACGUGAAAUCCCUCGGCUCAACCGAGGAACUGCGUCCGAUACUGGUGGGCUUGAAUCCGGGAGAGGGAUGUGGAAUUCCAGGUGUAGCGGUGAAAUGCGUAGAUAUCUGGAGGAACACCGGUGGCGAAGGCGGCAUCCUGGACCGGUAUUGACGCUGAUGCGCGAAAGCCAGGGGAGCAAACGGGAUUAGAUACCCCGGUAGUCCUGGCCCUAAACGAUGAGUGCUUGGUGUGGCGGGUAUCGAUCCCUGCCGUGCCGAAGCUAACGCAUUAAGCACUCCGCCUGGGGAGUACGGUCGCAAGGCUG
RNAcentral lists this ribosomal RNA (371 nucleotides) under uncultured bacterium. RNAcentral's name for it is "bacterial SSU rRNA". It matches the Rfam family "Bacterial small subunit ribosomal RNA", at positions 527 to 896 of the family's 1533-position model. The record is from RNAcentral.